Plectropomus leopardus (leopard coralgrouper) is the source of this 330-nucleotide non-coding RNA. The record is from RefSeq and is a predicted model, not a curated record. Lineage: Eukaryota; Metazoa; Chordata; Actinopteri; Perciformes; Serranidae.
UAUGUUCUUUUUAUCCUCAGAAAACAAAGACAUUGUAUGCUGACCAUCAUUUUUUGCUGUAAGGAAAUGACGAGUCAUUCAAAACCCUAUUGUGCUGAACGCCACUUCCCAGAUACAUCUUUCAAAAGUAAAGUGUGCCAUCAACACGUCACCAGUCUGACCUGACUCAGUUGUUGGAGUAUUGCCGCUUACUUAGUCCUCUUCUUCCUAAGUGGGAAACAAGGCUUCAACGAUCUGACGCCAUUCAUCUAAUUUUUUGUCUUGUUAUCUUCUGAGCCUCGCCCCAGACAAUAAAGAAAUCACCUACUGAACAUCAUUGUUGGCUGUGAG